Molecule: long non-coding RNA, 5501 nt
Organism: Amblyraja radiata (thorny skate)
Lineage: Eukaryota; Metazoa; Chordata; Chondrichthyes; Rajiformes; Rajidae
Exons: 3
Source: RefSeq, a predicted model, not a curated record
AGUGGAUAGGGCAGUUAUGGGGUAAAAGGAGCAAAUUAAUAAUAUUAAUAUAUCAAGGGGGGUAGUUAGCGUGUGUACGGGAGGGUAGUUAGUGGGGAUGGUUAGUGCGUGUGACGCAAUAUACCUCUGACCAACCCAUCAAUCUUUCUGCUACUCAGUUUUAUAUUUUUUGUUUGCUAACGAUUUUUAGUGCCUUAGGACAUAGGACAUUUCAUUUCAGCAGUCACGGUACAUAAACUAUAUUUUUGUUGAUACUAUCAUUACUGUGCAUGUUUUUGCUUGAAUCAUUAAAGCAAUCUUAAGUUCUUGUUCCUAUGUUCUCAAGUUAUUGUUGGAAUCUAUGUAGAGAGAAUCAUGCAUGGCCUUCGAUUAAGCUGCAAUGCUGCCUCGUCUAAAAGCCGGCCAAUUUGCUGGUCAUGACUGGAUAUGGUAAUUGCUCCCUGUGGAACUGAUAGUACUGGUGACUUGAGGGGGAAAAAGAUUGUUUGGUGUGGAAAAGGUAUGACUAAUGAGUUUAUAUUAUUUCCCCACCUGAAAUUUGGCAUCAUCAGUGACUUUACAUGUAAAGAAGCAGUUGUAUAUGAAAGGGUACUUGUUAUAACUUGAUCUGGGGAUGCUUCAUUAACUGCGAUUGAACAGUAAAUCCUCUGGUCCUUUACUGCAAGAUUGUCUGUGUUGACGUCAAUUAAUAAACUGACUUCAGGUUGCUUUUUUUAAUCUGCUGUACAUCUCUCCUACCACAUAUUCACCUUUGUGUUUGAAGAAUUCUCUGCAUUCACUUUGAAAAUAUUGAAAUUAAGUAAGUUUCCUUGCCUGAUAGGAAAUUGUAGUUUUUAGCUGUAGUCUUAUUCUUAACAUUUCUCCUUCCUUUUCAUCACUGACUAUACUCAAAAAUGAAUGACCUUUGUUUUAUUUCAAUAGGCACACUUCAUACCUUAGCACAUUUAAAUGAUCUUGUGCCAACAGUAUGGGACUCAACACUGAACUUGUUUAUGUGACAAACUAUUUCUUAAAAUUCCCACAAGAAAGCACUUGGAGUAAACUAAAGAAAAUCUGUGGUUGCUGCUAAUCUAAGAUAGAAACUGCUAGAAAUACUCAGCAAGUUGAACAAUAUCUCCAGAGAGGAACAUCUCAUGAUGAAUUCUGAUGAAAGGUCUUCAGCCUGAAAUUAAUUCCUAUUUCUACAUAUCUUGUCUGAGUGCUCCCUGGACUUAUUUUGAUAUUUAUGUCCAGGUACCUGCCUUGAGUCAAAAGUACAAGUGUCCCACUUGCUUGGAUGAGCACAACUGCAACAGCACUCGAGGCUUGAUACAAUCCAGGAACAGAAUUCAAAAGAAAGAUAAAGCCAGGUUCUUUCAACUAGCAACCCCAUGGCCUUAAGCAUCUUUUCCUCUCCUAUGUCUGCUGUCUGCAUCAAAUUUUCAGAAUUAUACAGAGAUGUUGCAGAAGAAGAGUUUUUUAAUAAAAACUGAAAAUACUAGAAAUACUCAGCAUGUCAAGCAGUAUCUGUAAAAAGUGAAAUGGUCAACAUUUCAUGUCAGAGAUCCUUUGUCAGAACUUGUGCUCUUGGCCUGCUGAGAAUUUCUGGUAUUUUCUCAUUUUAAAAUUUCUGGCAUGAGCAGUUUUUUAAAUUUUCAUUUUGAGUUUUUUUAUCUGGGUGCAUGCUGCAUUAUCAGGCUAGGCUGGUAGAAAUCAUAGCACUGAAUAAAUUGUUGAAAAACAAUGUUCAUCGACAGAUCAUUUUCUAUUUCCCGCCAUUUUGCCUCCUCCCUAAUCUUACUUUCCAAUUUUGUGGUUGAUAGAGAGGUGAUGUGAAACAAGGCAAGGGGUUUCAUCAUCCAAAAUAAUGAAGCUUGUUUGAUUGGCACCUGACUCAGCCCCCACGUGUUCACUCCCCCACCGAUGAUGGAUGACAGUGGUAUUAUGCACAGUGUUCAAAACGCAAUACAGCAACACUCCGCGGCUCCUUCAACAACGUCUCUCAAAUCCACAUCCUCUACAAUCCAGAAGGGCAAAUGCAUUGCCAAGUUGCGCAUGUUCCCUUAUGACAUAAGUGUAAAAGGAGUCUAUUUUGGCCUUAGAGCAAUAUUUUUCCUGGCUAAUUUUCCCAAUAACCUGUUCUACCCCUAUUCCCAUCAAUUUUACACAAGGUAAUUUACAGUGGCCAAUUAACCUACUAAUCCGUACAUUUUUGGAACGUGGGAGGAAAUUGGAGCGCCUGAAGGAAAUUCAUACAUUCACUGGGAGAAUCACAAAUCACACAGGCAGCAGCAGUGGACAGGAUCAAACCAACAUUUCUGGAUCUGUGAGGUAGCACCUCCACACGCUUCUCCACGCACACACGUGGCAAUUUAAAUGACCAAAUACCUACUGACCCACUUGUCUUUGGGUUAAGGGAGGAAGCCCACAUAUCACAGAGAGAAAGUGUAAACUCCAUACUGACUGUACUAGAGGUUAGGAUUUAACCCAGACCACUGCUUUGGAAAAAAAACAUCAGGAACACUGAUCUCCAGGUUAACAGCAGGAAGCCUUAUCGCCACAGCUAAUCAACAGCUUUAAAAAAAACAAAAAACAUUUUGUAUCCAAUACCAUAACCUCCCAGCAUGGAAAUUUAUAUUAUUUCAUUGUUUUGAUAUGUUUAAGUCCAGGCAGUCCCACAUAAGCUGAUAACACUGAAUACCUCUAUCUCACACAGCACCAAUGUAAGAAGGCAGCUUGCCACUGACCCCAAGUGCAAGUUGGGAUCCUGGCUGCUAGUGACAUCCAUAUCCAAGGAAAAUAAAUGCUUCCUCCAUGACCAUACUGCUUAAACAAGGCACAUAUCGAAACCUUGGGAUCUUUGUACUGAUCUUGGAAUGUAGCCUGCAGAGUUCAGUAAGGUUAUGCUGUUUACACCUUUCGUAAUCAUCUUCCUUAGUCACCCUACCCCACCUGCCAACAUCCCUUCACCUCUGCAUCAUGUAUAUAAAGUUGAAGUGCACCUUUUAUAAGUGCCAUUCAUUAUAAUAUUAUGACCUAUCCUGCACUCUGCUCUCCUAAAUGAUUUACACUAACUUCAACCUUAUUCUCUGUAUAGUGCUGUGACACACAAAAGUACUGUAGCAUGCCCAUCACUGAAAGCUUUUAUUUUUUCUUCAUAGUUUUGCUUUGGGCCCAAUGCAGUACAUUUUUAAUGCAGUACUAUUUUUUAUUCUAUUCCAUGCUUAGGUUUACCAUGUCAGUUACCUUGCAUUCUGUUGGGAAUGAAUUUAUAAACUCCUGCCUAGUGAUAAUUUUUAGUUUGUAUGCUAAUAACAGAUCCUGCUGAUAUUUCUUCAGUGACUAAGUGUCAUUUUUCCACUGGUUAGAGGUAUCCUUGGUAUAGGUAAUGUUAAUUGCUUGUUGCUCUCCUUUUGAAUUUUUGAAAAUCUCUUUAUGAGCUCUUCGCCACUGUUCAUGUCAUUUAUCCAUCAGCAUUCACUCCAUUUAAUAUGUGACUCUGCCUGCAAGACUGCAGCCCCUGUUGUGUGCAAUAGGUUUGGUUGAGUGCUCACAGCAUCUCCUGUCACAUCACAUUUGCAUAAAGAAGGAUGGAUAACUACAUUUGAGCAAAGAAAUGAAAAUGCCCAGCGCCAGACCUGUCAGCUUUGUUCUCAAGUUAAUUGUGAAAAAUUUGAUUUGCUUUGUUUUCUGUCUUUAUUAUGACAACCCCCUCCCCAUUUGCUUUGGCUUGCACGCUCCAGCAUGUAGUCUUUAAAGACCAGACAGCUAUUUUACCCCCAGAUCCACCCCAGGGAUUGAUUACUUCAGUCUUACUAACCCUUAGUACUGGUUCAUCUCUUUGGCUAAAUUAGGCCUACUUGGCAGAUUUGCUUACAAUUAAAAUUCACGAAGAUUUGUACAUUUACAGUCAGUGCUCUGGGUUCUCAUUGUUUGGGAGACUACAAUUAUUCAUCAAACCAUUUCAGGAUUAAUCACACUCUUUAAUUGAUUUUCUCUGCCAAUUUCAAGUGACAGGUUUGCUAUUAUUCAGUAGCAUUUUCAGAAUCGACAUUAUUUUCAGGAAUAGUACAAUUUUCAAGAUAUGUCUGAUAUUAGUUAAGUUUAGAGAUAUAGCGUGGAAACGGGCCCUUCGGCCCACCGAUUCCACGCUGACCAUUGUUUACCCAUACAUUAGUUCUAUGUUAUUCCACUUUCACAUACUGCACACUAGGGACAAUUCACAGAAGCCAAAUAACAUACAAACCUGUGUGUUUUUAGAAUGUGGUAGGCAACCUGAGGCGACUAGCAGGAUUUAACUUGAUAUCUUUGAAUUUAUAUGUGGAUGGUAAUUGUUGAUGUUAUCAUGCAACUUUGUUUUUAUAUAUUUGGCAUAUGUUAAUGCAUCUAAUUCUGCCAUCUGUUUUUACUGUUGAGAUUUUUAGAAUAAUUUUAGUAGUGAUGAUUUCAAUAGUUUACUUUAAUUUUCAAGUUUAUUUGUACUUAGGUUAACUUUUGUAAUUGUGUCUGAAGUUGCCGAACAUAAAAUUGUGACAGUCAUGUCUAAGUUUUAUUUAUUUUAAAAUGCAUUUAUUUUUCUGAAUAAUUUAUUAACUUAUCUCAAGGAAAUCAUAUUGCAAUUCUUUAACUAGGUCAAAUUUGUUAUAACUCAUUACAAACAAUUCCCUGAUUUGGAGUCUUUUGGGACACGGAAUAAAACCUGCUCUCACACAAUAUUUUUCAACUUUUGUUUCUUGACAGAGGAUGUGGUGUUACGUUGCAGAAAAGUAUGAUAUGGCCCUUUUUCUGGGGAUGUAACUCCCUGUAACAUGGGUGUUAUCUGUAUGGGAUGUUAUUUUGAAAAUACAGUGUACACAUAUUCAAUAUUUGACAUCCUGCGAAAAUUUACAUUUUUUAUAUAGCUUGUAUCAUUGCAGUUAAAUACAACUGCAGUACUGCAUCCUGCUCCAUUAGAAAAAAAACUCAAAGUUCACUUGAGAGAUUAUUUUCCUCUCUAUGUAGAGUAUUUUUGGGGGUUGCUUAUGAUUACAAAUUUUGACCCUACCUUGUACAAUACAAUUGGGAUUUGGCAGCUCUUCAAUGGCCUUAAAGGACUCUUGCCUCGGAGCUUUCAAAUUUGUAAUAAUUGGUCAAAUUCUACAAAAUAAUAAAAUUGUCAGUAGGAAGUGAUGGCUAAAUUUGGCAUGUAAUGUGAUAUCUGUCAUUUAAGGAUUUAUGGCAGAUUAUAUCUAGAGGCAACAUGAAAGUUGGUUCAUAAAUGAUGACAAACAGCAGUUGCAGAGUUUUUCUGCUUCAGAGUAUCUCUUGGUAGUUAAUUAGUUACAGUGCAUUGCCCUAAGUACAGGUGGAUCACAGAAGAUUCAGGGAGUUGAGAAAAGGUUACAGGGAAAUAAUUGGGCAAUGGGUUUGAUGGGAAUGUACUGAAUGCCAGCAUAGAGUUGAUGGUUGGAAUUACUUGCUGUGUUGUAAGGAAAUAAUAGACAAAUAUGUUCAAUAAAGAUCUGUUUAUAAAGACUACAAAA